UGAGAGGUUACUGCAAUUAAUGGCCACGGCUGAUGUUUAAUCUUGCUGGGUGGAAGUCCUGUCUUCAGUUGCAGAUCGUCGGUCCCGAGGGUUCGACCACAGGGUCUCAGAUUUCUUCCACGCAGCCCCUGCGCACGUUGUGGGGCCCCUUGACUCGGUUAACGUAUAGGUUUCAGUUGUUUCCCGGAGCGUCCAAGGAAGAUGUUAGAGAAGAAAUUACCAAACUUGACCACUGAAUAUAUAGAGAAAUCAACAGGCUUCGGUCUUGUUCAUUCAUUAUUGCUUUCCACCACGAAUUUUCUUCAGAGGUCAAUGCUAUGACCUCUGGAGUUCAAAGAUAUGAAACUCUCAAACUGGUUUUUGAAAGCAAAACCGAAACAGUUUGGCUGUCUCUCUAAGCCACAGUACCUGAGGUUCAUUUGCCUAUAAAGGGCCUAAGAUGAGCCAAGCAAUGAGGAACCCAGAAGCUUGCAUUUCAUUUUGCUCAUAGUAAAUAUACGUCUGCUCUGAAUCCAGCCAUAUCUAAGGUAUAAAGGAUCAGGGACCAGAAGGAACCUGCUCUUUCACGUGGCCAACAAGCUUGAACCAGGGAUAUAAGCAGAAUAGAACCAAUAGAGAACAAUUGUCUCCUUGGGCAGCCAAGGGGGAAAGCCUAAUAUUGAAGAGGUUGUGCAGAAGCAACAGCAGAGGUAUAUCUAUCAAAUCUAGCAAUCUCUGAAGGAACCUUCAAGAUUGGACACUCAUAUCCCCCCCUUUUAAAGAGGAAUC
Long non-coding RNA from Tupaia belangeri chinensis (Chinese tree shrew), 768 nucleotides. RefSeq lists it as uncharacterized. NCBI's taxonomy places the organism in Eukaryota, Metazoa, Chordata, Mammalia, Scandentia, Tupaiidae. The record is from RefSeq and is a predicted model, not a curated record. The transcript has 4 exons.